GUUUGAUCCUGGCUCAGGACGAACGCUGGCGGCGUGCCUAACACAUGCAAGUCGAACGGAGUAUUCAGCAAUGGAUACUUAGUGGCGAACGGGUGAGUAACGCGUAUAUAAUCUGCCUCAAAGCUGGGGACAACACUUGGAAACGAGUGCUAAUACCGAAUGUGGUAUCUUGUGUGCAUACAUGAUCUAAAAAAGAUGGCCUCUUUGCAAUGCUAUCGCUUUGAGAUGAGUCUGCGUCUGAUUAGCUAGUUGGAGAGGUAAAAGCUCACCUAGGCGACGAUCAGUAGCCGGUCUGAGAGGAUGAACGGCCACACUGGGACUGAGACACGGCCCAGACUCCUACGGGAGGCAGCAGUGGGGAAUCUUCCGCAAUGGACGAAAGUCUGACGGAGCAACGCCGCGUGAGUGAAGAAGGUCUUCGGAUUGUAAAGCUCUGUCAACUAGGACGAAUGUGUGACUUGUGAAUAAUGAGUCAUAAUGACGGUACUAGAGAAGGAAGCCACGGCUAACUACGUGCCAGCAGCCGCGGUAAUACGUANGUGGCGAGCGUUGUCCNGAANUAUNGGGCGUNAAGAGCGCGUANGCGGGUAAAUAGUCUGUUUUAAAAGUGCGG
RNAcentral lists this ribosomal RNA (613 nucleotides) under uncultured bacterium. RNAcentral describes it as "bacterial SSU rRNA". It matches the Rfam family "Bacterial small subunit ribosomal RNA", at positions 11 to 605 of the family's 1533-position model. The record is from RNAcentral.